CGUACAGUCAAGACCUGCGUCACGCAGCUCCGCGAAACUCCAACGUUUUUCUCCGUUGCUCCGUCGUUGAUGGUCGUCAGGAAGGGCUUACGAGGCGUGGACACAUUUCAGACACUGGUCCAACACGGCGUCAGGCGCUACUGCACAGCACCCUGGAACGAGUCGGUGACCUUGACAGCGCCACUGGCAGGGGACGGGUUGGCGGGGACGGCGAACCGUCUCACGGCCACCUGCCGCGAGAUCCCAGCUGUCGGCUGCACUGCUGCAAGGGCGGCGUAAUCCACACCACGCCCAGCUGGCGGGAGGCGGCGUCUCGACGAGACAGUGCCUGCUGAUGGCGACGUCGGUGUUCCUGGUCCGACAUCGGGACGUUCCACGUCUAGCCUGGGACGUCGGAGUUGGGUCCUUACACAGUCGUUGCGUAUGCGGUUAGUUCAAACACACUUUCAAGGCGCACUCACACGGGCGUCCUUAAUUAUAGCUCGGGCUUAACUCUCAAAUUUCACUUCUUUAAAACAACAAUGUCCUAUCUGUGCUUUCCAGUCGUAGCCUCGGGUCACCUCGAUCAUAACCAUUCAACCACAAAUAACCAUUUAAAAUACUAUGAAACGUACUUAAUUACAAUAAAAAAAAUAUAUUAUUACUAGGAGGGUUUAAUGUGUUUUGUUUAUAACUUAAACCUAUUAAUAUUUAAUUUACCAUGAUCCACAGGGUAAUCUGGUACCAUUAUUAUUGUACCGGUACUAACAUACAGUAGAUUCAUGCUAUAAAUAUUAGAUAAUAUUUCUUUUGUUUACAUAUUUGCUCAUAGACAUAGCAAUUAUUUUCAGUUAUUUUCUGGUAACAUAAGUAAUUUGAUUACAACUAAUUUCAGUAAUAGUGUGAUUACAGUUCAUAUUGCGCUAAAACUUAAUAAUAAUUGAUACUAUUUUAUCUCAAGUAUAACAAGUUGCCUUGAGUUUAAUUAUCAAACUAUUUAGUUACUAAUUAUAAUUUACUAAAGUAAAGGCUUAUUUACAUUUUGCUCUUGGGCUUAGAAAUUAUAUACAAGAAUAUUCUAACACAUCAUAUAUCAUUAUCAUUUACACAUUUCAUGUCACUAUGACUACAUAAAUAAUUGCAAUACCAUUAAAUGACUUAUUAUUACAACAAUAAUAGUUCAUUUCAUAAAAUUCAUUUCAUGUUAUUUCAUCUUAUAACAUAAUUGCUUAAAUUCAAAUGCUGCAGACUUGCAGACAAUAAUAGUGUAUUAAUAUGUUUUUGUACCAUCAGUACAUACUGUGUUUUCACAUAACACAUGUCUUGCAGUGUUCAAUAAUUUUUUUUUUUUCAUUUCACUGUUGAUGUGAAAUUAUAAUUUCAACAUAUUUGUCUGACUGAUUUCAUCACACUUUGUUGACACUUGUUACACACUUUGGCCACAGGCAACAACUGGGUAGCACAGAAAAUUAUUUACUCUUGCUCGCGACACCAGUGUUCCAUGUUCUGUAUCACAGCCAGAAGACUAGACCCCAACAAGUAGGUCGUUUGAAACUUCAAGAAAUGAUAACUUUCGUGUGACAACAACAAAAUUAGGGUGUGAAGUAUAUACAACCAUGUUGUAUUUCUUUUCAGUGGCAAAUUUAAAAUAAAUUAAGCUCCUGCUUAAUAUUCAAA
Molecule: long non-coding RNA, 1656 nt
Organism: Bacillus rossius redtenbacheri
Lineage: Eukaryota; Metazoa; Arthropoda; Insecta; Phasmatodea; Bacillidae
Exons: 2
Source: RefSeq, a predicted model, not a curated record